ACGGCAGCGCGGGAGCAAUCCUGGCGGCGAGUGGCGAACGGGUGAGUAAUACAUCGGAACGUGCCCAAUCGUGGGGGAUAACGCAGCGAAAGCUGUGCUAAUACCGCAUACGAUCUACGGAUGAAAGCAGGGGAUCGCAAGACCUUGCGCGAAUGGAGCGGCCGAUGGCAGAUUAGGUAGUUGGUGAGGUAAAGGCUCACCAAGCCUUCGAUCUGUAGCUGGUCUGAGAGGACGACCAGCCACACUGGGACUGAGACACGGCCCAGACUCCUACGGGAGGCAGCAGUGGGGAAUUUUGGACAAUGGGCGCAAGCCUGAUCCAGCCAUGCCGCGUGCAGGAUGAAGGCCUUCGGGUUGUAAACUGCUUUUGUACGGAACGAAACGGCCUUUUCUAAUAAAGAGGGCUAAUGACGGUACCGUAAGAAUAAGCACCGGCUAACUACGUGCCAGCAGCCGCGGUAAUACGUAGGGUGCAAGCGUUAAUCGGAAUUACUGGGCGUAAAGCGUGCGCAGGCGGUGAUGUAAGACAGUUGUGAAAUCCCCGGGCUCAACCUGGGAACUGCAUCUGUGACUGCAUCGCUGGAGUACGGCAGAGGGGGAUGGAAUUCCGCGUGUAGCAGUGAAAUGCGUAGAUAUGCGGAGGAACACCGAUGGCGAAGGCAAUCCCCUGGGCCUGUACUGACGCUCAUGC
RNAcentral lists this ribosomal RNA (691 nucleotides) under Variovorax sp. ehR14. Its description in RNAcentral is "bacterial SSU rRNA". It matches the Rfam family "Bacterial small subunit ribosomal RNA", at positions 66 to 752 of the family's 1533-position model. Lineage: Bacteria; Pseudomonadati; Pseudomonadota; Betaproteobacteria; Burkholderiales; Comamonadaceae. The record is from RNAcentral.